RNAcentral lists this ribosomal RNA (468 nucleotides) under uncultured bacterium. Its description in RNAcentral is "partial 16S ribosomal RNA". It matches the Rfam family "Bacterial small subunit ribosomal RNA", at positions 28 to 507 of the family's 1533-position model. The record is from RNAcentral.
GAUGAACGCUGGCGGCGUGCCUAAUACAUGCAAGUCGAACGGACAGGCCCUGCUCUUGCUCGUCUCUCGUUUGCCGAACGCGGGUGUAACACGCGUGUAUCCCGUCCCUCUCUUUGUGAUAUCUCUUGGAAACACGGGCUAUCAUCCGGUAGGAUCUCUUGCUGCACGGUGUUCGAUGGUAAGAUUCGGCGGUUGGGGAUGGACUCGCGGCUUAUCCGCUUGUUGGUGGGGUAGUGGCGUACCAAGGUUUUGACGGGUAGCCGGCCUGAGAGGGUUACCGGCCACAUUGGGACUGAGAUACGGCCCAGACUCCUACGGGAGGCAGCAGUGGGGAAUAUUGCACAAUGGGCGGAAGCCUGAUGCAGCAACGCCGCGUGCGGGAUGACGGCCUUCGGGUUGUAAACCGCUUUCGCCUGUGACGAAGCGUGAGUGACGGUAAUGGGUAAAGAAGCACCGGCUAACUACGUG